RNAcentral lists this ribosomal RNA (463 nucleotides) under uncultured bacterium. Its description in RNAcentral is "bacterial SSU rRNA". It matches the Rfam family "Bacterial small subunit ribosomal RNA", at positions 28 to 507 of the family's 1533-position model. The record is from RNAcentral.
GACGAACGCUGGCGGCGUGCCUAACACAUGCAAGUCGAGCGAUGAAGCUUCCUUCGGGAAGUGGAUUAGCGGCGGACGGGUGAGUAACACGUGGGCAACCUGCCUCAAAGUGGGGAAUAGCCCUCCGAAAGGAGGAGUAAUACCGCAUAAUAUGAAGGAAUCGCAUGGUUUUUUCAUUUAAAGAUUUAUCGCUUUGAGAUGGGCCCGCGGCGCAUUAGCUAGUUGGUAAGGUAAUGGCUUACCAAGGCGACGAUGCGUAGCCGACCUGAGAGGGUGAUCGGCCACAUUGGAACUGAGACACGGUCCAGACUCCUACGGGAGGCAGCAGUGGGGAAUAUUGCGCAAUGGGGGAAACCCUGACGCAGCAACGCCGCGUGAGUGAUGAAGGUCUUCGGAUUGUAAAACUCUGUCUUUAGGGACGAUAAUGACGGUACCUAAGGAGGAAGCCACGGCUAACUACGUG